UUGAGCACCUACGAUGCAUGGGUCAUUAAUAGUUUUUAGGAACACACAAAGGACAAAAUCCUGGCCCUCAAAGAACUUGUGACUCAGUAAGAGAGGAACAAUAGACCAACAAGCAUAGUAUAGUCACUAAGCGCUAUCAAGAAAAAAUAAAACAGUUUAAAAUGAUCAAGGGGCCAGGGGGUCCGUUUUUAGUGAGAAUGGUCCAAGAUGUUAUCUCUGAGGAGGUUACAUUUGAGUAGAGACAUGACUGAAGUAGGAAUUAAUCAGGAAUAGCAUUCUAUCUAGAAGGAACAGUAAGUGCAAAAGGACUUGAGCAGAAAUGAGUGUGAUGCAUUUAUGGAACAGAUAGGAGGCCUGUGUGACCAAAGUUAAGUUAACAAAACUAACUUACAUGUGCAUGUCUUUUUGGUUCAUCUAAUCUUUUUAUGUUUCAUUAUUUUAUUUGUACCUCAUAAUAAUAUAGUUAUCAUUUCCACUUUACAGAUAAGGAAACUGAUAUUCAAAGCGUAACCAAUGACUUGUCCAAAGAGAUAAAACUUGGCUUUGAACCCUUGUCUUCAGACUCCAAAUCAAGUACUUUUUCAUCUUCAGACCAGUAAGUGCUGAAUGUGGCCCCCAAAUUGGUUCAGAGCAACCAUGGUGGACUGUGGGAGAAGAACCAACAGGAUGCAGUGGGCAUCAGUCUUCACAGAUAAAUGAGGAAGAUGAGCCAGUGAGAAGGUAAGUCCUUUUUCUAGGGCCAUGAAAGGCUCUCAUUGAUGCCAAAACCAAUGGGAAAUUGGUUUAAGAAUUCACCAGGACAUGUCUUUCCAGCCCCAAGGUCACUGAAGCCCCUUACACCAGUUCAGGAACAGUUACCAUCCCUCCCUGAGGAUCUCCUGCUUCAUCCACAAGUCCUAUGGUGGAAGUUCACAGGUUUAAAAUUUUUUUUAAUUAUUUUUUUUAAAUGAAGGAUCAAUGAGAGCUCCAAAGAGUAUGAAAGGGACAGGUGUCUGCAGGUAAAGUUUUACUUUACCCUUGGUCCAUCAAAGGAGAAGACCUACUGUUUAAGGCUUUUGAAAGACGAGUGUGCAGGUGAAUGCCCACUCUUCUCAAUCACCACCUCUACAUACUUAGUUAUCUUUUUACAUGGUCUCUGUCGCACUUGACAGUAGGAGAGAAUCUAUUUCCCUACCACACCCUCCAGCCGUGGCUGUUUGCCUCCGCUAACCCAAUUUUUAGGCGCUUAUUUUUAGAAGAUGAAGACAAAAUUAUGAAUAAAAAAGUAGGCAAAUGAUUGAACAAGAAAAGAAUUCACAACUAAUUAUUGAAGACUUGGAGACCCAGCAUUUCUUGAGAUCUUUGUAGGCAAUUUUCCAGAAAUGCUUACAUGGAAAUGCUUCCUUAUUGCAACCUGGCUUUUCCUAACCACCUAGAACACUGCAUCUCUCAGUAACUCCCAGUGUUUAUGAGGUCCUGAUGCUGAAGUGUCCUCAGCUUCACGGCGAGGCAUUCCAAUUCCAUCCCAGUCUUCUCAUCAGCCAGAGACAAGAGGAUGAUUCACUCUGGGUUUUUGUUGUUGUUGUUGUUGUUUUGCAAGGGGAUGCUCCUCACUGAUGUGAGCAUUAGCUUCUGUUAGAGACAAUAUAGUCGUCUCUCAUUUGAAGAAUGACUUCUUCCUCUUAAAGUAACUCUAAUCUUACCAGUUGUUAAUUACAGAUCCCCAUAUUAUUGUGUUGUUUCUGGCUCUGGCUUAAAUUACAAGAGGUUGUAUUAGCUAUGUGACUCUGCCAAUACCACCCAGGUGGGAAACAUCAGCUUUUGCUUCCAAAUUUCCCUCCUAAAAGAAGAAAGUUCUAGUUUUUCCCGCCACGUGUGUCCUGCUGACUCAGACAACAAGCAUGUGGUGGGAGGAGACCAUGUUGACAAAGGUCCUCUGCAUGCCCCAUGCACCUUAUGGACACACUGGUAACAGGAACCAGUGCAUACGUGCCUGUGUUGUCAUCAACAUGGUCUGCAUCAAGAAUGUCAGGAAUGGCUUCCAAGUUGCAAGAAUUUGUUUUGCUGUGUCUUGAACGCAGAGGGCAUUUAUCCCGGCCGGGUAAAGCCUGUAUACACCUAACAGAGGAAAUGACACAUGUUAAAAUACUUUAAAAGUAGAAUUUUCGUUGAACCAUGAUAAGCCUGGAGCUGAUGUUCUUUAAAUGACCAUCCAGAAUUCAUUCCAUACUAAACUUCUCUGGAGAAUGUAUGACGGUGAGAAAGGCUGUUAGCUUAACAAGACCAUCAAAUGGACUGACUAAUCUCUUAUUUCGCUUUCUCUCUCCAUGGAGGUUCUGCUUUGAGUCUGCUUGAGUUGAAUAAUUCUUCAGUGUUGCUCUGAAUGGUAUCUAAACAUGUCUCUUCAUGUUAGCUUUGCCCUAUCGUCUUUAAGCUUUCACUAGCUUCUCUGGAUUAUCGAAGGAGGAAGCAAAAACUAGUGCCCUACUCACAGUCUCUGGAAGCAAUAGGACAAGAAUGAGAAGGAGGUGGGGAUAAAAGGAAAACCGAACUCAAAAGAGCAGUUGGGUGUCACAGCAAAUGCUCCCAGCCUGUAGCAAGCAUCUGGUAACAUAACCUUACCUGCUCUCCUACCACAAGUGUCAAAUAAUUAGUGCAGUCCCUUGUCUUCUGUAGAGAAGUAUUUUGCUUAAUAUAUGUAAAUAGAAGACCUGCAGAAUUUAUUUUGAAAAACAAUGUACAAUAUUGAAAGUAAACCAGUAAAGCUUUCUUUUAAGAGAAACAUACAAAAAUGGAAAUGAAAAAGACCAUUUGAGCUUGCAUUCUUGAUAGAGCCUUCACCACUGUAGACAAUGUUAUGAGAAGGGCAGGUAUGGCUGGAUUUUAAUGAAAACUUCCCUUAAAUUCAUGCUCAGUUUGUGCCACACGGAGUCCUGUGUCCUUGUCACAAGAGCUCUCUCAAGAAGGUACCAUUAUUCAAAUUAAACAUACUGUGCUGGGUCAAAUAGUGUCCUCCCCAUCCCACACUCCAAACUCACACCCACCUGGUAUCUGAGAAUGAUACUUUAUUUGGAAAUGGGUAUUUGCAGAUAUAAUCAAGUUUAAAUGAGGUCAUACUGAAUUAAGGGGGACCUUAAUCCAAUGAGUGGUGUCCUAAGAAGAGGGGGACACAGAGACAGAGAGGAGAGCGCCAUGUGAAGACAGAGGCAGAGGUUGGAGUGAUGCAUCUUUUUUUUUUCAAUAUAUGAAGUUUAUUGUCAAAUUGGUUUCCAUACAACACCCAGUGCUCAUCCCAAAAGGUGCCCUCCUCAAUACCCAUCACCCACCCUCCCCUCCCUCCCACCCCCAUCAAUCCUCAGUUUAUUCUCAGUUUUUAAGAGUUGGAGUGAUGCAUCUCUAAGCCAAGGAACAGCAAAGAUGCUGGCAACAUCAGAAGCUAGAGCCUUCAGAGAAAGCAUGACCCUGCAGACACCUUGAUUUCAGACUUCUGGCCUCCAGAACUGAAUCCUAUGCACACGACUCUACAGGUUCUUGGAAGAAAAUGAACUCUUAAUUUGAGGAACAUUUGAGGAACCGAGGUCAAGGAAAAGUUCUGCUCCUGGCUAAGGUCUUGCUGCUUGCAUAACUACUUUGACGGUCAAGAACAAUACAGUAAAUACAUUCCUGAUUCUUCCCCCCCCCCCCCAAAGGAACUUCUUCGCCAUUUAAAAACAGCCUUCCCUACAAGAAAAUGUGCCCCUUAAGGUUAUUUAGCCUAUUUAUUGCUGAUGUUAAUUAAACAACAACCUGGGCUUUAAACAGAGUCGUUGCUUCUGAUGAAAAAUUAACUAUCGUCUGCUAGUAAAGAUAGCACGCGAGGCGAGACGCGGGGCGGGUGGUGUGGCGGGACCCGGGGUGUCGCGCGUGGGCGAGGCAGGUCCUGUAGAUGGCAGUGUCGCACCGCAGCACGCGCCUCGGCUGGCUGCUGCGGGCUGGGGAUGUGGGCUGCAAAGGAUAAAAGCUGCCGGGAGAGCGGGCUUGCCCUCCAGCCAGCAAUUUAACUAAGUUGCUGGUUCGCUACUCGAUUUCAUAGUCGCCCUCUAAAUGAAUCUUUUCUGAACUCAGCAGAAGUACAAACUGUUCUUUUAUACAUCCCAAAUUGUCCUUUUGGUGAAGUGGGUUUUUAUUUU
Acinonyx jubatus (cheetah) is the source of this 4148-nucleotide long non-coding RNA. RefSeq lists it as uncharacterized. The transcript is spliced from 4 exons. NCBI's taxonomy places the organism in Eukaryota, Metazoa, Chordata, Mammalia, Carnivora, Felidae. The record is from RefSeq and is a predicted model, not a curated record.